CAAACUCAACCAAGUCAAAUAAUUCAAUUCCACAUUAUUUCUAUCAAAUUAGGAUCAGAUGACUCAUCCUUACAUUUCCUCACAUUUUUAAAUUUCAGUAACCACUUGACAAGACUAUCCGCCCGGCUCAGUCUUGCCAUCUCACAUACUCGGGUAGCUAUCUGCCCGGCUCAGCUUUCCCGAUCACACAAUAUCCAUACAAAAGUCAUCAAUCCUUAAUCACAAUCAUUUCACUUCACAACACAUCACAAUCAAUUCACUUCACAACACAUCACAAUCAAUUCACUUUAUAACAAGCCAAAAACAUAACUAAUAUCAACUCAGUCAACCAAGAAAUUAUCAAGUAAUCAAACAGCAGUCCCUACUCAAUAUACACAAAGUUUAG
RNAcentral lists this long non-coding RNA (385 nucleotides) under Ricinus communis (castor bean). RNAcentral's name for it is "long non-coding RNA (RCOM_LNC001175)". The record is from RNAcentral. Lineage: Eukaryota; Viridiplantae; Streptophyta; Magnoliopsida; Malpighiales; Euphorbiaceae.